RNAcentral lists this ribosomal RNA (492 nucleotides) under uncultured bacterium. RNAcentral's name for it is "partial 16S ribosomal RNA". It matches the Rfam family "Bacterial small subunit ribosomal RNA", at positions 29 to 507 of the family's 1533-position model. The record is from RNAcentral.
AUUGAACGCUAGCGGCAUGCUUUACACAUGCAAGUCGAACGGUAACAGGCCUUCGGGUGCUGACGAGUGGCGAACGGGUGAGUAAUGCAUCGGAACGUACCCAGAGGUGGGGGAUAACGCAGCGAAAGCUGUGCUAAUACCGCAUGUGAUCUGAGGAUGAAAGCGGGGGACCGAGCAGCAAUGUUUGGCCUCGCGCCUUUGGAGCGGCCGAUGUCGGAUUAGCUAGUUGGUGGGGUAAAGGCCUACCAAGGCGACGAUCCGUAGCUGGUCUGAGAGGACGACCAGCCACACUGGGACUGAGACACGGCCCAGACUCCUACGGGAGGCAGCAGUGGGGAAUUUUGGACAAUGGGCGCAAGCCUGGUCCAGCAAUGCCGCGUGCGGGAAGAAGGCCUUCGGGUUGUAAACCGCUUUUGGCAGGAACGAAACGGUGUCCGCUAAUACCGGGCGCUAAUGACGGUACCUGCAGAAUAAGCACCGGCUAACUACGUG